AAUCCAUAGGUUAAUGAGGCGAACCGGGGGAACUGAAACAUCUAAGUACCCCGAGGAAAAGAAAUCAACCGAGAUUCCCCCAGUAGCGGCGAGCGAACGGGGAGGAGCCCAGAGCCUGAAUCAGCAUGUGUGUUAGUGGAAGCGUCUGGAAAGGCGCGCGAUACAGGGUGACAGCCCCGUACACAAAAGCGCAUGUGCUGUGAGCUCGAUGAGUAGGGCGGGACACGUGGUAUCCUGUCUGAAUAUGGGGGGACCAUCCUCCAAGGCUAAAUACUCCUGACUGACCGAUAGUGAACCAGUACCGUGAGGGAAAGGCGAAAAGAACCCCGGCGAGGGGAGUGAAAAAGAACCUGAAACCGUGUACGUACAAGCAGUGGGAGCACCCUUUGGGUGUGACUGCGUACCUUUUGUAUAAUGGGUCAGCGACUUAUAUUCUGUAGCAAGGUUAACCGAAUAGGGGAGCCGGAGGGAAACCGAGUCUUAACCGGGCGUUAAGUUGCAGGGUAUAGACCCGAAACCCGGUGAUCUAGCCAUGGGCAGGUUGAAGGUUGGGUAACACUAACUGGAGGACCGAACCGACUAAUGUUGAAAAAUUAGCGGAUGACCUGUGGCUGGGGGUGAAAGGCCAAUCAAACCGGGAGAUAGCUGGUUCUCCCCGAAAGCUAUUUAGGUAGCGCCUCGUGAAUUCAUCUCCGGGGGUAGAGCACUGUUUCGGCUAGGGGGCCAUCCCGGCUUACCAACCCGAUGCAAACUGCGAAUACCGGAGAAUGUUAUCACGGGAGACACACGGCGGGUGCUAACGUCCGUCGUGAAGAGGGAAACAACCCAGACCGCCAGCUAAGGUCCCAAAGUCAUGGUUAAGUGGGAAACGAUGUGGGAAGGCCCAGACAGCCAGGAUGUUGGCUUAGAAGCAGCCAUCAUUUAAAGAAAGCGUAAUAGCUCACUGGUCGAGUCGGCCUGCGCGGAAGAUGUAACGGGGCUAAACCAUGCACCGAAGCUGCGGCAGCGACACUGUGUGUUGUUGGGUAGGGGAGCGUUCUGUAAGCCUGUGAAGGUGUGUCGUGAGGCAUGCUGGAGGUAUCAGAAGUGCGAAUGCUGACAUAAGUAACGAUAAAGCGGGUGAAAAGCCCGCUCGCCGGAAGACCAAGGGUUCCUGUCCAACGUUAAUCGGGGCAGGGUGAGUCGACCCCUAAGGCGAGGCCGAAAGGCGUAGUCGAUGGGAAACGGGUUAAUAUUCCCGUACUUGGUGUUACUGCGAAGGGGGGACGGAGAAGGCUAUGUUGGCCGGGCGACGGUUGUCCCGGUUUAAGCGUGUAGGUGUGUGUUCCAGGUAAAUCCGGUUCACUUUAACACUGAGGCGUGACGACGAGGCACUACGGUGCUGAAGCAACAAAUGCCCUGCUUCCAGGAAAAGCCUCUAAGCAUCAGGUAACAUCAAAUCGUACCCCAAACCGACACAGGUGGUCAGGUAGAGAAUACCAAGGCGCUUGAGAGAACUCGGGUGAAGGAACUAGGCAAAAUGGUGCCGUAACUUCGGGAGAAGGCACGCUGACACGUAGGUGAAGUGAUUUACUCAUGGAGCUGAAGUCAGUCGAAGAUACCAGCUGGCUGCAACUGUUUAUUAAAAACACAGCACUGUGCAAACACGAAAGUGGACGUAUACGGUGUGACGCCUGCCCGGUGCCGGAAGGUUAAUUGAUGGGGUCAGCGCAAGCGAAGCUCCUGAUCGAAGCCCCGGUAAACGGCGGCCGUAACUAUAACGGUCCUAAGGUAGCGAAAUUCCUUGUCGGGUAAGUUCCGACCUGCACGAAUGGCGUAAUGAUGGCCAGGCUGUCUCCACCCGAGACUCAGUGAAAUUGAACUCGCUGUGAAGAUGCAGUGUACCCGCGGCAAGACGGAAAGACCCCGUGAACCUUUACUAUAGCUUGACACUGAACAUUGAGCCUUGAUGUGUAGGAUAGGUGGGAGGCUUUGAAGUGUGGACGCCAGUCUGCAUGGAGCCGACCUUGAAAUACCACCCUUUAAUGUUUGAUGUUCUAACGUGGACCCGUUACCCGGGUUGCGGACAGUGUCUGGUGGGUAGUUUGACUGGGGCGGUCUCCUCCUAAAGAGUAACGGAGGAGCACGAAGGUUGGCUAAUCCUGGUCGGACAUCAGGAGGUUAGUGCAAUGGCAUAAGCCAGCUUGACUGCGAGCGUGACGGCGCGAGCAGGUGCGAAAGCAGGUCAUAGUGAUCCGGUGGUUCUGAAUGGAAGGGCCAUCGCUCAACGGAUAAAAGGUACUCCGGGGAUAACAGGCUGAUACCGCCCAAGAGUUCAUAUCGACGGCGGUGUUUGGCACCUCGAUGUCGGCUCAUCACAUCCUGGGGCUGAAGUAGGUCCCAAGGGUAUGGCUGUUCGCCAUUUAAAGUGGUACGCGAGCUGGGUUUAGAACGUCGUGAGACAGUUCGGUCCCUAUCUGCCGUGGGCGCUGGAGAACUGAGGGGGGCUGCUCCUAGUACGAGAGGACCGGAGUGGACGCAUCACUGGUGUUCGGGUUGUCAUGCCAAUGGCACUGCCCGGUAGCUAAAUGCGGAAGAGAUAAGUGCUGAAAGCAUCUAAGCACGAAACUUGCCCCGAGAUGAGUUCUCCCUGAGACUUAAAGUCUCCUGAAGGAACGUUGA
RNAcentral lists this ribosomal RNA (2661 nucleotides) under Salmonella enterica subsp. enterica serovar Enteritidis. RNAcentral describes it as "partial 23S ribosomal RNA". It matches the Rfam family "Bacterial large subunit ribosomal RNA". Lineage: Bacteria; Pseudomonadati; Pseudomonadota; Gammaproteobacteria; Enterobacterales; Enterobacteriaceae. The record is from RNAcentral.